Molecule: ribosomal RNA, 505 nt
Filed under: uncultured bacterium
Lineage: Bacteria
Description: partial 16S ribosomal RNA
Rfam family: Bacterial small subunit ribosomal RNA
Source: RNAcentral
GACGAACGCUGGCGGCGUGCCUAAUACAUGCAAGUCGAACGCACAGUUUAUACCGUAGCUUGCUACACCAUAGACUGUGAGUUGCGAACGGGUGAGUAACGCGUAGGUAACCUGCCUGGUAGCGGGGGAUAACUAUUGGAAACGAUAGCUAAUACCGCAUAAUAUUAAUUAUUGCAUGAUAAUUAAUUGAAAGGUGCAAUUGCACCACUACCAGAUGGACCUGCGUUGUAUUAGCUAGUAGGUGAGGUAACGGCGCACCUAGGCGACGAUACAUAGCCGACCGGCGAGGGUGGUCGGCCACACUGGGACUGUGACACGGCCCAGAGUCCUAGGGGAGGGAGCAGUAGGGAAACGGGGGGAAGGGGCGAGAGUCUGACCAAGCAGCGCCGCGUGAGUGAAGAAGGAUUUCGGAUCGUGAAGCUCUGUUGUAGGGGAAUAACGGGUGUGAGAGUGGAAAGUUCACACUGUGACGGUAUCUGAUCAGGAAGGGACGGCUAACUACGUG